This 465-nucleotide ribosomal RNA is filed under the name uncultured bacterium. Its description in RNAcentral is "partial 16S ribosomal RNA". It matches the Rfam family "Bacterial small subunit ribosomal RNA", at positions 339 to 795 of the family's 1533-position model. The record is from RNAcentral.
CUACGGGUGGCAGCAGUGAGGAAUUUUGCGCAAUGGGGGGAACCCUGACGCAGCAACGCCGCGUGAGUGAUGAAGGCUUUCGGGUCGUAAAGCUCUGUCAAGUGGGAAGAACCUAUGCAGUGUUAAUAUCACUGUAUACUGACGGUACCACUGAAGGAAGCACCGGCUAACUCCGUGCCAGCAGCCGCGGUAAUACGGGGGGUGCAAGCGUUAUUCGGAAUCAUUGGGCGUAAAGGGCACGUAGGCGGCUUGGUAAGUCAGAUGUGAAAGCCCGGGGCUUAACCCCGGAAGUGCAUUUGAUACUGUCAGGCUUGAGUAUGGGAGAGGGAAGUGGAAUUCCUGGUGUAGAGGUGAAAUUCGUAGAUAUCAGGAGGAGCACCGGUGGCGAAGGCGACUUCCUGGACCAAUACUGACGCUGAGGUGCGAAGGCGUGGGUAGCAAACAGGAUUAGAUACCCUCGUAGUC